Molecule: ribosomal RNA, 460 nt
Filed under: uncultured bacterium
Lineage: Bacteria
Description: partial 16S ribosomal RNA
Rfam family: Bacterial small subunit ribosomal RNA
Source: RNAcentral
CCUACGGGGGGCAGCAGUGAGGAAUAUUGGUCAAUGGGCGCGAGCCUGAACCAGCCAAGUAGCGUGAAGGAUGACUGCCCUACGGGUUGUAAACUUCUUUUAUAAAGGAAUAAAGUGAGGCACGUGUGCCUUUUUGUAUGUACUUUAUGAAUAAGGAUCGGCUAACUCCGGUCCAGCAGCCUCGGUAAUACGGAGGAUCCGAGCGUUCUCCGGAUUUAUUGGGUUUAAAAGGAGCGUAGAUGGGUUGUUAAGUCAGUUGUGAAAGUUUGCGGCUCAAACGUAAAAUUGCAAUUGAUACUGGCAGCCUUGAGUACAGUUGAGGUAGGCGGAAUUCGUGGUGUAGCGGUGAAAUGCUUAGAUAUCACGAAGAACUCCGAUUGCGAAGGCAGCUUACUAAACUGCCACUGACAUUGAUGCUCGAAAGUGUGGGUAUCAAACAGGAUUAGAUACCCGAGUAGUC